Molecule: ribosomal RNA, 317 nt
Filed under: Cronobacter sakazakii
Lineage: Bacteria; Pseudomonadati; Pseudomonadota; Gammaproteobacteria; Enterobacterales; Enterobacteriaceae
Description: bacterial SSU rRNA
Rfam family: Bacterial small subunit ribosomal RNA
Source: RNAcentral
AAGGUGGGGAUGACGUCAAGUCAUCAUGGCCCUUACGACCAGGGCUACACACGUGUUACAAUGGCGCAUACAAAGAGAAGCGACCUCGCGAGAGCAAGCGGACCUCAUAAAGUGCGUUGUAGUCCGGAUUGGAGUCUGCAACUCGACUCCAUGAAGUCGGAAUCGCUAGUAAUCGUGGAUCAGAAUGCCACGGUGAAUACGUUCCCGGGCCUUGUACACACCGCCCGUCACACCAUGGGAGUGGGUUGCAAAAGAAGUAGGUAGCUUAACCUUCGGGAGGGCGCUUACCACUUUGUGAUUCAUGACUGGGGGAAGUC